Non-coding RNA from Biomphalaria pfeifferi, 272 nucleotides. Lineage: Eukaryota; Metazoa; Mollusca; Gastropoda; Planorbidae. The record is from the annotation of a GenBank genome assembly.
AAUGAUCUGAUUUUUUUUAUAUGACAUGUAUAUUUUGUUCUGAACACUGGCUAUAUUGUAUGAGAAUGAUAAUGAAAUAUGACUUGAAUUGUAAUGGAAUGGUGAAGAGUUGUGUACAUAUAAUAUGGGGUUGGCACUAUUGGACAAUAUAACAAUAUCUCUCACUGGUAAGAAAUGCUUGAGUGUUGAACAGAUUGACUGUAAACCUCAAAUUGGUGUUAGAAAUUAUGAGUGCAGUUUGAUAUGGUGUAAUAAAAAUCUUGCUAAAUUAA